This 73-nucleotide transfer RNA is filed under the name Ixodes scapularis (black-legged tick). Its description in RNAcentral is "tRNA-Ser". Lineage: Eukaryota; Metazoa; Arthropoda; Arachnida; Ixodida; Ixodidae. The record is from RNAcentral.
UCCUGGUGAGCUCAGUUAGUAGAGCGCUCCAUUUGACAUUGAAAGGUCUCUGGUUCGAUACCAGGACCAAGGG